RNAcentral lists this ribosomal RNA (461 nucleotides) under uncultured Sphingobacteriales bacterium. RNAcentral's name for it is "bacterial SSU rRNA". It matches the Rfam family "Bacterial small subunit ribosomal RNA", at positions 338 to 795 of the family's 1533-position model. The record is from RNAcentral. Lineage: Bacteria; Pseudomonadati; Bacteroidota; Sphingobacteriia; Sphingobacteriales.
CCUACGGGGGGCAGCAGUAAGGAAUAUUGGACAAUGGACGCAAGUCUGAUCCAGCCAUGCCGCGUGAAGGAAGAAGGCGCUCAGCGUUGUAAACUUCUUUUGGACGGGGACAAACCGCUUCAUUUAUGGGGCGCUGAGGGUACCGUCAGAAUAAGCACCGGCUAACUCCGUGCCAGCAGCCGCGGUAAUACGGAGGGUGCAAGCGUUAUCCGGAAUCACUGGGUUUAAAGGGUGCGUAGGCGGCCCGAUAAGUCAGUCGUGAAAUCGCUGGGCUUAACCCAUGCAAUUGCGAUUGAUACUGUUGGACUUGAAUGAGGUUGAGGUAGGCGGAAUGUGGCAUGUAGCGGUGAAAUGCAUAGAUAUGCCAUAGAACACCGAUUGCGAAGGCAGCUUGCUGGGCCUUCAUUGACGCUGAGGCACGAAAGCGUGGGGAGCAAACAGGAUUAGAUACCCCUGUAGUC